UUUGAUGCUUUCUCUGAGAUUAAGAGCUUGGGCUCUGUUCGUGUUUGUAAGGGUUCUUCUACGGGCAAGUCUUUUUGUGAUUUUGUCGACUUCAUUCCUCCUCAGGACAAAACGUCAAAUUUCACAUCAUGCUAUUAAGGCAAAGAAUAACACUUUUCUAAUGGGAAAAUGAAAGGGUGAUGAAGUCACUUCGAGAUUCUGAUGCAAGAAAAAAUGGAGUUGGGAAUGUGUUUGUCUAGGAAAGGUAUAAAGAAAUGGACUAUGUUGGAGGAUAGGGAUUAAUGCUAGGCUGAUCUAGUUGGAUCAUUCGCACAAUGUUUGAUGAGAG
Long non-coding RNA from Durio zibethinus, 328 nucleotides. RefSeq lists it as uncharacterized. The record is from RefSeq and is a predicted model, not a curated record. Lineage: Eukaryota; Viridiplantae; Streptophyta; Magnoliopsida; Malvales; Malvaceae.